GUUGCCGGGUGUGAGGGCUGUGGAAUCAGAGUUCAGCUUGGCUCCCAGGUGAAGCAGCUCAGGUCCCCAGGAUACUCCCAGUGGGCUCUUCGAAACAUGACUUGCAGCUGCUGCCCUAUAUGCUGCUCCCCACUUCAGUCCUGCCCACAGAGCCAUCACUUAAACGAGUAAACUUGUUGACUCGGUGAAUAUUUCCAUGCAGAGUGGUGGUCAUAGCUGUCUUAAAACCAAUCCAGUUGCAAUACCCAAUGUGAAGAUUAGCCCUGAGCUAACGUCUGCUGCCAAUCCUCCUCGUUUUGCGGAGGAAGACUGGCCCUGAGCUAACAUCCGUGCCCAUCUUCCUCUACUUUACAUGUGGGAUGCCUACCACAGCAUGGCUUGCCAAGCCGUGCCAUGUCCGCACCCGGGAUCCGAACCAGCAAACCCCAGGCCGCUGAAGCGGAACAUGUGAACCCAGCUGCUGCCCUACCAGGCCGGCCCCUGGACAUCUCAUUUUUAACCCUCUGCCACUACCAACCCCCUCCCCCAAAUACUGUUCUUUUAAAACUCCAUUCAGAGUGUAAGCUAAUGGUUGCUUUGCAAAGGAUAUAGUUGUUUUAUUUUCCACAUCUAGAAAAAGAAACAGAAUUUAACCAAGCG
This 639-nucleotide long non-coding RNA is filed under the name Equus caballus (horse). RNAcentral's name for it is "lncRNA (ENSECAG00000047004.1)". Lineage: Eukaryota; Metazoa; Chordata; Mammalia; Perissodactyla; Equidae. The record is from RNAcentral.